Molecule: small nuclear RNA, 99 nt
Filed under: Zalophus californianus (California sea lion)
Lineage: Eukaryota; Metazoa; Chordata; Mammalia; Carnivora; Otariidae
Source: RNAcentral
UUGCUUCAGCAGCACAUAUACUAGAAUUGGAACAAUAGAAGGUUAGCAUAGCCCCUGCACAAGGAUGACAUGCAAAUUCAUGAAGAGUUCCAUAUUUUU